This 836-nucleotide ribosomal RNA is filed under the name uncultured archaeon. RNAcentral's name for it is "bacterial SSU rRNA". It matches the Rfam family "Archaeal small subunit ribosomal RNA", at positions 21 to 859 of the family's 1478-position model. The record is from RNAcentral.
AGGUUACUGCUAUCGGUGUUCGCCUAAGCCAUGCGAGUCAUAUGUAGCAAUACAUGGCGUACUGCUCAGUAACACGUGGAUAACCUGCCCUUGGGUCCGGCAUAACCCCGGGAAACUGGGGAUAAUUCCGGAUAACGCACAUAUGCUGGAAUGCUUUCUGCGUAAAAUGGAUUCGUCUGCCCAAGGAUGGGUCUGCGGCCUAUCAGGUAGUAGUGGGUGUAAUGUACCUACUAGCCUACGACGGGUACGGGUUGUGAGAGCAAGAGCCCGGAGAUGGAUUCUGAGACAUGAAUCCAGGCCCUACGGGGCGCAGCAGGCGCGAAAACUUUACAAUGCGGGAAACCGUGAUAAGGGGACACCGAGUGCCAGCAUCAUAUGCUGGCUGUCCGGGUGUGUAAAAUACACCUGUUAGCAAGGGCCGGGCAAGACCGGUGCCAGCCGCCGCGGUAACACCGGCGGCCCGAGUGGUGAUCGUGAUUAUUGGGUCUAAAGGGUCCGUAGCCGGUUUGGUCAGUCCUCCGGGAAAUCUGACAGCUCAACUGUUAGGCUUUCGGAGGAUACUGCCAGACUUGGAACCGGGAGAGGUAAGAGGUACUACAGGGGUAGGAGUGAAAUCUUGUAAUCCCUGUGGGACCACCUGUGGCGAAGGCGUCUUACCAGAACGGGUUCGACGGUGAGGGACGAAAGCUGGGGGCACGAACCGGAUUAGAUACCCGGGUAGUCCCAGCCGUAAACGAUGCUCGCUAGGUGUCAGGCAUGGCGCGACCGUGUCUGGUGCCGCAGGGAAGCCGUGAAGCGAGCCACCUGGGAAGUACGGCCGCAAGGCUGAAACUUAA